Molecule: ribosomal RNA, 464 nt
Filed under: uncultured bacterium
Lineage: Bacteria
Description: bacterial SSU rRNA
Rfam family: Bacterial small subunit ribosomal RNA
Source: RNAcentral
GAUGAACGCUGGCGGCGUGCCUAACACAUGCAAGUCGAGCGGCAGCACGGUCUUCGGACUGGUGGCGAGCGGCGGACGGCUGAGUAACGCGUAGGAAUAUACCCCAAAGUGAGGGAUAACUGCCCGAAAGGGUGGCUAAUACCGCAUGUGGUCUUCGGACUAAAGCCUUCGGGCGCUUUGGGAAUAGCCUGCGUAAGAUUAGCUAGUUGGUGAGGUAAUGGCUCACCAAGGCGACGAUCUUUAGCUGGUCUGAGAGGAUGACCAGCCAGACUGGAACUGAGACACGGUCCAGACUCCUACGGGAGGCAGCAGUAGGGAAUUUUCCACAAUGGGCGAAAGCCUGAUGGAGCAACGCCGCGUGCAGGAUGAAGGCCCUCGGGUCGUAAACUGCUUUUAUGUGCGAAGAAUAUGACGGUAACACAUGAAUAAGGGUCGGCUAACUACGUGCCAGCAGCCGCGGUAAU